RNAcentral lists this ribosomal RNA (324 nucleotides) under uncultured eukaryote. RNAcentral's name for it is "partial 18S ribosomal RNA". It matches the Rfam family "Eukaryotic small subunit ribosomal RNA", at positions 1470 to 1796 of the family's 1831-position model. The record is from RNAcentral.
CCCUUAGAUGUUCUGGGCCGCACGCGCGCUACACUGACGGAGUCAACGAGUUGUCCUGCAUCGGAAGGUGUGGGUAAUCUUUUGAAACUUCGUCGUGCUGGGGAUAGAUCUUUGCAAUUUUCGAUCUUGAACGAGGAAUUCCUAGUAAGCGUGAUUCAUCAGAUCGCGUUGAUUACGUCCCUGCCCUUUGUACACACCGCCCGUCGCUACUACCGAUUGAAUGGUUUAGUGAGGCCUCGGGACUGGCGCGCUCGAGUAGCAAUACACCUGCGCGCCGGGAACUUGGUCAAACUUGNUNAUUUAGNGGAAGUAAAANUCGUANCA